Molecule: ribosomal RNA, 460 nt
Filed under: uncultured bacterium
Lineage: Bacteria
Description: partial 16S ribosomal RNA
Rfam family: Bacterial small subunit ribosomal RNA
Source: RNAcentral
CCUACGGGAGGCAGCAGUGAGGAAUAUUGGUCAAUGGACGCAAGUCUGAACCAGCCAUGCCGCGUGCAGGAAGACGGCUCUAUGAGUUGUAAACUGCUUCUGUACGAGGGUAAAUCCCGAUACGUGGUCCGGGUUGAAAGUAUCGUACGAAUAAGGAACGGCUAACCUCGCGCCAGCAGCCGCGGUAAUACGGAGGAUUCAAGCGUUGUCCGGAUUUAUUGGGUUUAAAGGGUGCGUAGGCGGUUCGAUAAGUUAGAGGUGAAAUCCCGGUGCUCAACUCCGGCACUGCCUCUGAUACUGUCGAGCUAGAGUUUAGUUGCGGUAGGCGGAAUGUAUGGUGUAGCGGUGAAAUGCGUAGAGAUCAUACAGAACACCGAUUGUGAAGGCGACUUACCAAACUACGACUGACGUUGAGGAACGAAAGCGUGGGGAGCAAACAGGAUUAGAUACCCCUGUAGUC